ACAAUUAAACUGAAAACUAAUCAGCGUCUACGUGGACAUCUGGGAGAAUAUGAAGCAUGUCUCUGUUUAACAAUGCCUUGAGAAAUCUAUUGAUCAGUUCCUCUUUUUUCUUUCUGUGUUUUAGUAGGUGCUGAAUUUGCUAUUUAUCUCCUAUGCAGAUUGUGAGUGAUGUGAAGUUUACUGUUAACCAAGCAGUGGAGCC
RNAcentral lists this unclassified non-coding RNA (202 nucleotides) under Hevea brasiliensis (rubber tree). Lineage: Eukaryota; Viridiplantae; Streptophyta; Magnoliopsida; Malpighiales; Euphorbiaceae. The record is from RNAcentral.